Molecule: ribosomal RNA, 497 nt
Filed under: uncultured bacterium
Lineage: Bacteria
Description: partial 16S ribosomal RNA
Rfam family: Bacterial small subunit ribosomal RNA
Source: RNAcentral
GAUGAACGCUGGCGGCGUGCCUAAUACAUGCGAGUCGAGCGAACAGACGAGGAGCUUGCUCCUCUGACGUUAGCGGCGGACGGGUGAGUAACACGUGGAUAACCUACCUAUAAGACUGGGAUAACUUCGGGAAACCGGAGCUAAUACCGGAUAAUAUAUUGAACCGCAUGGUUCAAUAGUGAAAGACGGUUUUGCUGUCACUUAUAGAUGGAUCCGCGCCGCAUUAGCUAGUUGGUAAGGUAACGGCUUACCAAGGCAACGAUGCGUAGCCGACCUGAGAGGGUGAUCGGCCACACUGGAACUGAGACACGGUCCAGACUCCUACGGGAGGCAGCAGUAGGGAAUCUUCCGCAAUGGGCGAAAGCUUGACGGAGCAACGCCGCGUGAGUGAUGAAGGUCUUCGGAUCGUAAAACUCUGUUAUUAGGGAAGAACAAAUGUGUGAGUAACUAUGCACGUCUUGACGGUACCUAAUCAGAAAGCCACGGCUAACUACGUG